UUAACUGCUAUAUAGCAAAAGCCCGUGCCCCGCACGUGCCACUUUCUAGUGUGGAAGUGUUUAAAAGGGGACUUAGGGCUCCCAUUCGUCUCUGGGUCCCCUUGGCUUUCUAGUUUCUAUACCUCGAAUCCAUGACGGCCGCCGCUCUGCCCCGCACUGGCUCCGGCGAGGGUUCGCGUCCGCCUUCGCCGCUCGCCGCUCGCCGCCAUGGAUCCGGAUCCCUAGGAGGAGGCUAGCGAGAAGUGAUCCUCCGUGGUUCUCCCCGUAGCGGCAGACGUUGGAGAUCUUAGGGCAAAGCGUAUUCAACCGGAGGUUGUCUCCUUGCACUCGCCUCUUACCAUGCUUCCAGUUGCUUCUUGUAAACUUUUGCUAAGAAGUGUAUCUAUAUUUUUUUCUCAAAAAAAUCGUUUCUUAUUUUAUUUCUUGUGUUGAAAUUUUAUCAGCGAGGCGUCUGGGCUUAUCUUUGCUUGAUUCUAUAGCGAUUUAUUAAUCUAUAGAAAAUGAGUAACCACUCAUUGCGCAUUUGAAGAAUCCUUACGACGAGAUCUUUGCUGACUCUUGCUCGAGCUGGCAAUCUAUUCUAUAGCGAUUCUAUAGCGAUUUACGACGAGAUUUAUUUUCUAAUUCUUCAUUAAAAUAGUUGGCAAGUGGAGAGAGCUUCUCCUAUGAUCAAGCUGGUCAUAACUCAACUGUUUUGUUAGGUGUCAUAAACAUGAUUUCUAUGAUUCCUCAAUAAUUGAGGAGACAUAGAGCAGCAAAUUCAUUAUAGUGAUGUUUUGUUUGAAGCGAUCGCUAGGUUUCCGAUCUUGUUGUUUUAAUAACAAUAGAAUUGAUGCUCAAGUUUAUCCAGAAUAGAGUGAACUAUGAUUCAACUUCUCUACUUCAUAACCCUUGCUAUGCUGAUCUAUGCGCAAUGGAGAUUUUCGCAAGAACUAGUAAGACAAUCUUUGAUGUUAUUCAACUCCAUAUAUUUUUCAACCAGAAUACUCAAUGGCAUGUGGUAUCUUCCUAAUGCCCUCUCAAGAUGAGAUUACAAUUUUUGAAGGUUUCCUAUCGAUUACAUCUAACUUAUCUAGUUAAAGAAAAGGGGGCUACGUGGAAGCAAUCAUACAGUUCAUAUUAGAGAACAUUCUUGCAGUCCCUCACAAAAUAUAAAUAGCCAUAUCUUCAAGAGAGAUUGCAUGCAUAUUGCUGCUAUCUACCUCUUCAGAGUGAAUCAAAUUAGACAUUUCUAUUUUUUUGAUUUGAAUCCUUAUAUGCCUUUUAUCUUAAAGGCCGAUAUAAUGAUUACUUUAGUGAGUUCCAAAUUUUUCAUUUCAUAUAUGUCUGUCUAUUUUAAGGUAUUUAAUUUCAAAGUUGAUUUUACAUUUUGUUCUUCACUUCAAAGUCAAUUUAUUUCCAGCAUUUUGUCAAAACUAUCUCAUUAGCGACUUUCAUUUGGAUAAGAAAUUAUCUCUUUGUACAUAUUAUAGGAGAAGUUUUUUUUUGUUGAAGUGUUUUGGAAUUUAAUCCCCUCUUAUACAGUGCAGUAAGCCUUCAGUUUUAUGUUUCUUUUAGCGGACUUAUAUGUAUUUAUUUUGAAUAAAUUUAACCUUAGCUUGCUUGAUGAAAUUGUGCUUUUCAUGCUUUUUGCCUUUGAUGAUAGACAGGCAUGAGCCCCAACAACAUUUGCGCACCAGGUUUUUGCCAUUGCCUGGGUUGUUGUUGGCAAGGAUGAAUGUGCCAUAAUGCUAAUCUGAGGUCACACUUCUUAACCUAACAUAUCAUCUGAUACACCUCAGAACCGAUCUCUUUUGACGAGGCAAACCAACUAAUGAAAGCCCAUUACCUAACUGAGGGCUGACCAUUGAAAGCUUGCCACAUGGCUAAACUAGAAAGUGUGCAAAGUAUCCUCUACAUUUCAAACUCACCUACCAGGUGGCAACAACUCGGCCAUGAUCACUAAUUGUUUUCUAAAUAAAUGCGACCUUUGAGCAAAUUCCUAUGACCGAGAAGCAUAGGUGUGAUUCACGAAUGAGACAUGCAGCUUGUUACUUUAUCAACCAGUGUAUUCCUUGAACUACUCGGCGGUGGGCUCUGGCCCUCACCUAUAUAUGUUGUGUUUCCAGAAGCCAUCCAUGUAAGUUCUCUUUUGACUCUCUUACACUGCAUCUUUGCCCUUCUCAGGCCUCCUCCUGUAUCCUGAGAGUCGUGUCUGACUUAAGCAUUAAAGGGAGUCCCUACCGGACAUGCUCCAGUGGGAGAAUUUCUUUAUUCUUGUUGUUUCAGAUCGGAGCCAACAUUGGAGCGCCGGUCAAAGCCAUCACUCUUCCAUUUAAUGCCAACUCACAAGCGCUCAGUGUCGGGAUCAUCGCCGAUCGUGUGCAGGGACCACCGGACAAUUGCCGCGUGGGCAUGUAGCGAUCCAUCCAAUCUAUCCGAUUCGGAUGGCAGACGAAUUGAGAUCUCCAGCAACCUCGAUAACUCAGUGCCUGGGUCGUCGGGCCAGUUCCCAACAACAACACCAUCUUUUUAGUUUUUAAUAUUUCUUCUAUAGCUUGUGAAAAUGAUGUCUUACUUCCUUAAAGAAAUAACUAAUGUUUUCUUACUUCGGUGGCAAUUUUCUCAAACUUAUUUACAUUUCACCUCACCAGUGGAAUAGGCUAGCAUAAGAUAAAAAUUACUUGGUAACGUAAGGUUUUUGACAUUUCUGUUCUCUGAAUACCUUUUCCUCACUGAAGUGCUCUGUGUUCAAGGUGUCAUUUCCUUUAUCAAGUUACAUAUGCCAGUUCAUGUUGGAUUGUUGGUGAAAUUAGUUUGCAUUGUUGCAUUGACAUUCAUCUUGAAAAGUUGAUAUCCGUUGCUUAGAUAUGCUAUCUCAUCAUCGAAUGACUUCAAAUAAGCUACCAGAUUUCUUUCAACAAUUUUAUAAUUUUAUGAUUUCUUUCAACAUAUGACAUUUCAUGUUGGAUUGUUGGUGAAAUUAGUUUGCAUUGUUGCAUUAGCAUGCAUCAUGAAAAGUUGAUAUCAGUUGAUUAGAUAUGCUAUCUCAUCAUUGAAUGACUUCAAAUAAGCUACCUGAUUUCUUUCAACAAUUUUAUGAUUUUCUUAUCUAAGUAUUCAUAUGCUUGAUUUUUAUUUCCCUAACUCUCAUUCAGUUUGAAAUUUCUGGUUUGAGGUGUUGAUUUGGCAUUGACUUCAGUUGAUAUUUCUUUGGCUAUAAUCGUGUUUAGUGUUACUCUAGCCAUUGAUGAUGAAGUAUGGCAUGAGCCUCAACAACAUUUGCGCAUCGGGUUGUUUUGCCUGAGUUGUUGUUAGUAAUGAUGAAUGUGCCAUAAUGCUAAUCUGAGGCUCAAGUUCUGGGUGCAUGCAAUCUAAUAGACACCAAUAUCAGCACCUUAUGUUUCUCUUGUUUAUGAACCUUCUUAGUACAAACAACUCCCGAGAGAUGCUGAAAGGGCAACAUGAACAUCUUAUAAUAUGGGUUCCAUUUCACUAUGGCCAACUGACAAUCCCUUUUCCAAUGAAGUCUUUUUUAUGUUAUUUUUUAAGCAGAUCAUCUUUAGACACCAACUCAAAGUGUUGGUUAAUGUAAGCAGUAGUUAUAUUCAAGACCAGGAAAAACUACUAAAAUGCACAGGUGCAAUUAUCUUAUAAUUUUUAUGUAUUGUUUGUCACUUCAAAAACCUUUUCCUUCAAUUAUAAGUUAAACAUAUUUCAUUUUGUGAUGCUAGUCUAGUGUUUUUUUUCCAUAUUUUUUAUUUUUUGAGCCAUUUCUUUGCAUCUAGUCAAUCAAAAUAAUCAGUUUAGGAGAUUCCCAUGUCUUUAUCUUCUUGAUUAUUGUUAAUGUAAUUCUUUAGGUUUUCUGAAGUUGAGUUUACUUGCAAGUCUGCCCUUAAUAAUGUGUUUAUAUGUUUGUGAUUUGAUAUUUGAAGUUCAUGUAAGCUUUUUAAUUGCCUUCACUUUAACUCUUUUUGUUCCCAAAUGCUUAUAGUGUAGGUUCCAAAGAAACAUUGCAUGUAGUCUGUCUUUGGCAUGGUUGUAAUUAGUAAGAAUGAAUGAAUUAUGAUAUUGAUCUGAGAACUAAAUAUUGAAGAGGUAACUGACAAAUGAUUUAACUAUUAUGAGCUUUUAUUUGACACUCUUUUGCUUAAUGUUCUGAUGGAGAUGCAAUUCAAGAGGGAGAAACAAAAACCUAGUUUCUCAUCAAUUAUAUUUAUUGACUUCAAACUAUUUGCAUGUCAUAUAGAAUAGGGCAUCUACAUUUUUCUACAUCAUUUAGUAAAACAAGCAUUUUAUUGUUAAAUUUGUUUUUGUAAUUGAGUUUAUUUUAUUCUUGUUGCUCUGAACGUUAUAGAUUUGUUUUUGCGCGAGUUUUUGCCAAAAGCCAAUUAUUCCACUUUAGAAAUCCAUGUGAUUUAGUUCAGAGAGGAGAUUUGAACCACUAUUUUCAUGCAUGAUCUCUCUCAUUAAGAUAAUAUUUAAUGUCACUUCAUUAUGAUGAUUUAUUAUAAUUAUACGUUUUGUAUAUGUAGGAUCAUCUAGCCUGUUAUGAACCAAUUUGGCCACUCAAGUAGAUUUGGACAAGCUUCGAGAGCAAAAUCUGCCAUAUCCAUGACUCAAUUGAGUAUCAAAACUUCGAGAAGUCAUAACUUCUAAUUCAGGAUAAUUUGGGCAGGUGAUUGAAGAUAAAGUUGAUGCAAGAGUUAAGAUUUAGCUUUUAUGUAAAUUCAAUAUUUUUAGAAUAAUUUUUAUUUUUUAAUUUGUAUCCUCUUUUAAUUAGGAGAGAAAUAUGAUCCAAUAUGGGUUGGACUUGACUAAUUUAAAAUGGGGAAAAUUUUCAUCCUCUUCUAACUACAAGAGGAAUAGUACAGGACUUGCAACUUCUCUUUUAGCUAGAAUAAGAAUUUGACUUAAAUAAGGAGUUAUAAAUAGAGCACAUAUGUCAUGCGUUUAGAGAAUGGGAAGUAGGGGGAGUGCAUAUACUCUACUUUUUACCCGCUCGAAUCCCAACAGACUUUACUUUCCACCUGUGACACAUAUCACAAUGUGUUGAAUGAAAAUUUAAUGGAAAUAGAGGGCUUAAAGCCCUGUUUUCUAAAGUUAUUAUUGUUUAUUAUUUUAUUUGAGAAAUUUGAGUUGAGCAAAUUGAAGGAGAUUACUUCCUUCUUGAUCAGUGUGGGGUCUAGAUUUUCAAAGUAGUACAAGCAUAAGGGAGAAAAGCUUUUAAUGCUUGAGGUAUAUCGAAGGACCAAUGGCUACUACUUCUAUAUUAGUAGAUGAUGAUGUGAAGGGUUGCUUUACUCGAGAGGUGAAGAUUGCCCACGUCACUGAGCUCAUAUGUCAAUUGAUGCCUUUAGCUUCAAUUCUUGCAACUCCUAUACAAAAUUGUCUCCAACAUUUGUGGACAAUGAGUUGCUUAUUCUACUGAUACUGACAAAGACGGAUAUUUCACAAUAGAGGAUGAGUUCAAACCAGAAAAACUAAGAGACUUAGCUGCAUGAUGGGAAACAGGCAUUUCCCUGAUUCCAGUUAGUUUAGCUAGAGUUAAAUUCCCCAAAUAGAAAGCUUUGAUUCAGGAGUAUUAUCUAACCUGUUACAGGCCAUUCUAACCACUCGAGUAGGUUUGGACAAGCUAUGGGAGCAAAAUCUACCACAUCCAUGAUUCAAUUGAGUAUUGAAACUUUGGAAAAUCAUGACUUCUAACCGGAGAGGAAUUUGGCUGCGACUGAAAGCAAAAUUGACGUAAAAGUUAAGAUCUAGCUUUUAUCCAAACUAGAAAUUUUUUAAAAUAUUUUUAUUAUUUUUGUAAAUAGUGUCAUGUUUUAAUUAGGAGAGGAAUCCAAUCUCGGACUUCGCUGGCACAAAAAGACGGGAGUUUUCCUCUUAUUCUAAUUAAAAGAGAAAUCCAACUCAAAUAAAGAGAUUAGAUCUCCAUAGAAUUGUAGAGAUCUUGCAACUUCUCCUCUUUUAGCUAGAAGAAGAAUUAGACUCAAAUGAGGAGGAUAUCACUUGCAUGAAUAGAGGACAUACCCUAUUAUUUUAGGGAAUGGGAAUAGAGAGAGUAUACUUUAUAAAUUAUAAGAAGUAUACUUUAUAAAUUUUAAUAAGCAAUAGUGUUAAUCUAACAGAUAUGCCGAGUCAUAAAUGGUGGCAAUGGUCCAAGAAAUGUACUUAAUAGUCCAUGGAAUUAUAUAUGCAUAAGCAACUCAGACCAUCACAUGUAAAUGAUGCAUAAGGGUUUGAUGCUGGAGAAGUAUUAAAGCUCACAAUACUAAGAGUCUUUGGGUGUGAUUUGAGUAAGAAUAGUUAAUAACACUAGAUAGAGGACUAAAGGUGGGCUAGUUUGUAUUUUGGACUGAACAUAGUAAGAAGAAACAAUGGUUUCAUAAAAUGUAAAGAUUGGAUGUUAAUCUUGCAUGCUUAAGGAAAACAAGCCUCUGAAAUGGAAUAGAUGAGGGCAAUGGAGUCAAAUAGAUACAAUAGUUAAACUAACUUAAAGACACAAUGGAAGGAAUAUGAUAAGAUUAAGAUUUUAUAGGACUUAUAGAGAAUCAUGAUCCAUUGUGGUUUGGAAUUGUACAAAAUAAAGGAAAAGGAGGAACCAUCACAUUUCAUUACAAAAACUUAGUUGCAUUGCUACAGCUUGAAGAACAAAUUCUCAGCACAAUCAUGAGCUUGUAAGGCUUUGACCCCUUCUACUACUUGAAAUAAGAGUGCAAGAACUAAAAAA
This is a non-coding RNA of Phoenix dactylifera (date palm), 6712 nucleotides long. Lineage: Eukaryota; Viridiplantae; Streptophyta; Magnoliopsida; Arecales; Arecaceae. The record is from RefSeq and is a predicted model, not a curated record.